RNAcentral lists this long non-coding RNA (208 nucleotides) under Lathyrus oleraceus (garden pea). RNAcentral's name for it is "Pisum sativum (pea) long non-coding RNA (PSAT_LNC004631)". The record is from RNAcentral. Lineage: Eukaryota; Viridiplantae; Streptophyta; Magnoliopsida; Fabales; Fabaceae.
UUGUUUUAAUUAUUUUGUUUGCUUUUUCUUUUCUUUUGAUUUUGUUUCUUUUAAUUGCUUAUUAAUUCUUAAUUUUUCGCUUCUCUAUUGCAUUUUAUUGAAUUUUAAUAUCAUUUUAUUUGUUUGCAGUUUAUUUUAUUAUGGAGAAUUGCUUUAAAAUUUGAUGUUAAUUUUCUUCUUUUUUUUGCAGUUUCGAUUGAUCAUUGAC